UCCCAGCGGUCCAAGUCGCAGCCACAAUUAUUGGGUCUAAAACAUCCGUAGCUUGUUUCGUAAGUAUCUUGUUAAAUCAUACAUCUAAAGUGUAUGGCAGGCAAGGUAUACUGCGGAACUGGAGACCGGAAGACGUAUUGAGUACGGUUAAGGUAGCGGUAAAAUGCUCUAAUCUUGACCGGACUAACAAGAGCGAAGGCACAAUACGAUGACGGAUCUGACAGUGAGGGAUGAAGGCUAGGGGCGCAAAAUGG
Molecule: ribosomal RNA, 254 nt
Filed under: uncultured bacterium
Lineage: Bacteria
Description: partial 16S ribosomal RNA
Rfam family: Archaeal small subunit ribosomal RNA
Source: RNAcentral